Molecule: ribosomal RNA, 468 nt
Filed under: uncultured bacterium
Lineage: Bacteria
Description: partial 16S ribosomal RNA
Rfam family: Bacterial small subunit ribosomal RNA
Source: RNAcentral
GACGAACGCUGGCGGCGUGCUUAACACAUGCAAGUCGAACGGAAAGGCCCUGCUUUUGUGGGGUGCUCGAGUGGCGAACGGGUGAGUAACACGUGAGUAACCUGCCCUUGACUUUGGGAUAACUUCAGGAAACUGGGGCUAAUACCGGAUAGGAGCUCCUGCUGCAUGGUGGGGGUUGGAAAGUUUCGGCGGUUGGGGAUGGACUCGCGGCUUAUCAGCUUGUUGGUGGGGUAGUGGCUUACCAAGGCUUUGACGGGUAGCCGGCCUGAGAGGGUGACCGGCCACAUUGGGACUGAGAUACGGCCCAGACUCCUACGGGAGGCAGCAGUGGGGAAUAGUGCACAAUGGGCGGAAGCCUGACUCAGCAACGCCGCGUGCGGGAUGACGGCCUUCGGGUUGGAAACCGCUUUCGCCUGUGACGAAGCGUGAGUGACGGUAAUGGGUAAAGAAGCACCGGCUAACUACGUG